Molecule: long non-coding RNA, 172 nt
Organism: Pelmatolapia mariae (spotted tilapia)
Lineage: Eukaryota; Metazoa; Chordata; Actinopteri; Cichliformes; Cichlidae
Exons: 3
Source: RefSeq, a predicted model, not a curated record
GAACAUUUUCAGCUACUUGGACUCAGCUCAGCCACUACAGAGGAAACAAUGAGCUCAACACAGAAGGACCUGCUGAGACCAUUUCAGUAAUCGUCUUCUUAACUCAGGACCAACAUGGAGCGAGAAGUCAGCGCUCUCAGGAGGCCGACAAACCUCACAGAAGAAAGAGAGA